CCGACGAAGAGGCACUUCAGGUAAUGAGUGCGCUCUGUCCCGUGGUACUGGCACCAAAUCUGGCAGUGGAUCUUGCCGUGGUGAAACGCUAGAAUCUUCUCCUUCGGAGUAUAACCGACGCGACACACUACCUGUUAAGCUGAUGAUGAUGAUGAUGAUGGUGGUGGUGGUGGUGA
Octopus sinensis (East Asian common octopus) is the source of this 176-nucleotide long non-coding RNA. RefSeq lists it as uncharacterized. The transcript is spliced from 3 exons. The record is from RefSeq and is a predicted model, not a curated record. Lineage: Eukaryota; Metazoa; Mollusca; Cephalopoda; Octopoda; Octopodidae.